GAUGAACGCUGGCGGCGUGCCUAAUACAUGCAAGUCGAGCGAACAGACGAUGCUCUUGCUCCUCUGUCGUUAGCGGCGGACGGGUGAGUAACACGUGGAUAACCUACCUAUAAGACGGGUAUCACCUCGGGAAACCGGAUCUAAUCCCGUAUAAUAUACUGACCCGCAGGGGUGGAUAGUGAGAUACGGCUGUGCUGUAAGGUAUAGCUGGAUCCGCGCCGCAUUAGCUGGUUGGUACGGUAACGGGCUACCACGGCAACGAUGCGUUGCCGAGCUGAGAGGGGGGUAGCCCGCAUUGGAACGUGGCCAGCGUCCAGGGUCCUACGGGAGGCAGCAGUAGGGAACGUUACGCAGAGGGCGAAAGCCUGGCGGAGCGACGCCGCGUGUGUGAUGGAGGUCUUCCGAUCGUAAAGCUCUGUUAUUAGUGAAGAACAAAUGUGUAAUUUACUAUGCCCGUCUUGACGGUACCUAAUCAGAAAGCCACGGCUAACUACGUG
This 497-nucleotide ribosomal RNA is filed under the name uncultured bacterium. Its description in RNAcentral is "partial 16S ribosomal RNA". It matches the Rfam family "Bacterial small subunit ribosomal RNA", at positions 28 to 507 of the family's 1533-position model. The record is from RNAcentral.